AAAUUGAAGAGUUUGAUCAUGGCUCAGAUUGAACGCUGGCGGCAGGCCUAACACAUGCAAGUCGAACGGUAGCACAGAGAGCUUGCUCUCGGGUGACGAGUGGCGGACGGGUGAGUAAUGUCUGGGAAACUGCCCGAUGGAGGGGGAUAACUACUGGAAACGGUAGCUAAUACCGCAUAACGUCGCAAGACCAAAGUGGGGGACCUUCGGGCCUCACACCAUCGGAUGUGCCCAGAUGGGAUUAGCUAGUAGGUGGGGUAACGGCUCACCUAGGCGACGAUCCCUAGCUGGUCUGAGAGGAUGACCAGCCACACUGGAACUGAGACACGGUCCAGACUCCUACGGGAGGCAGCAGUGGGGAAUAUUGCACAAUGGGCGCAAGCCUGAUGCAGCCAUGCCGCGUGUAUGAAGAAGGCCUUCGGGUUGUAAAGUACUUUCAGCGAGGAGGAAGGCGUUGUGGUUAAUAACCACAGCGAUUGACGUUACUCGCAGAAGAAGCACCGGCUAACUCCGUGCCAGCAGCCGCGGUAAUACGGAGGGUGCAAGCGUUAAUCGGAAUUACUGGGCGUAAAGCGCACGCAGGCGGUUUGUUAAGUCAGAUGUGAAAUCCCCGGGCUCAACCUGGGAACUGCAUUUGAAACUGGCAAGCUUGAGUCUCGUAGAGGGGGGUAGAAUUCCAGGUGUAGCGGUGAAAUGCGUAGAGAUCUGGAGGAAUACCGGUGGCGAAGGCGGCCCCCUGGACAAAGACUGACGCUCAGGUGCGAAAGCGUGGGGAGCAAACAGGAUUAGAUACCCUGGUAGUCCACGCCGUAAACGAUGUCUACUUGGAGGUUGUGCCCUUGAGGCGUGGCUUCCGGAGCUAACGCGUUAAGUAGACCGCCUGGGGAGUACGGCCGCAAGGUUAAAACUCAAAUGAAUUGACGGGGGCCCGCACAAGCGGUGGAGCAUGUGGUUUAAUUCGAUGCAACGCGAAGAACCUUACCUGGUCUUGACAUCCACGGAAGUUUUCAGAGAUGAGAAUGUGCCUUCGGGAACCGUGAGACAGGUGCUGCAUGGCUGUCGUCAGCUCGUGUUGUGAAAUGUUGGGUUAAGUCCCG
Molecule: ribosomal RNA, 1097 nt
Filed under: Salmonella enterica
Lineage: Bacteria; Pseudomonadati; Pseudomonadota; Gammaproteobacteria; Enterobacterales; Enterobacteriaceae
Also listed under: 1 other name
Description: bacterial SSU rRNA
Rfam family: Bacterial small subunit ribosomal RNA
Source: RNAcentral